This 613-nucleotide ribosomal RNA is filed under the name uncultured archaeon. RNAcentral describes it as "bacterial SSU rRNA". It matches the Rfam family "Archaeal small subunit ribosomal RNA", at positions 4 to 625 of the family's 1478-position model. The record is from RNAcentral.
CCGGUUGAUCCUGCCGGACCUGACUGCUAUCUGAUUGGUACUAAGCCAUGCGAGUCGUUGUACAAUACAAGGCGAACUGCUCAGUAACACGUAGUUAACCUAACCUAUGGAUGGGGAUAACCUCGGGAAACUGAGAAUAAUACCCAAUAGAUCACAGUGCCUGGAAUGGCCUGUGAUUGAAAUGAUUUAUCGCUGUAGGAUAGGACUGCGGCCUAUCAGCUUGUUGGUGAGGUAAUGGCCCACCAAGGCUAUAACAGGUACGGGCUCUGAGAGGAGGGGCCCGGAGAUGGGUACUGAGACACGGACCCAGGCCCUAUGGGGCGCAGCAGGCGAGAAACCUUUGCAAUGUGCGAAAGCACGACAAGGUUAAUCCGAGUGUCUCCUGCUAAAGGAGUCUUUUGUCAGUUGUAGAAUCACUGGUGAAUAAGGGGUGGGCAAGUUCUGGUGUCAGCCGCCGCGGUAAAACCAGCACCUCGAGUGGUCAGGAGGUUUAUUGGGCCUAAAGCAUCCGUAGCCGGUUGCAUAAGUUUUCGGUUAAAUCUAUGCGCUCAACGUAUAGGCCGNCGAAAAUACUGUGCAGCUAGGGAGUGGGAGAGGUCACGGUACUCAAUAG